Molecule: ribosomal RNA, 671 nt
Filed under: Lactobacillus delbrueckii subsp. bulgaricus
Lineage: Bacteria; Bacillati; Bacillota; Bacilli; Lactobacillales; Lactobacillaceae
Description: bacterial SSU rRNA
Rfam family: Bacterial small subunit ribosomal RNA
Source: RNAcentral
GCCCUAAAGACUGGGAUACCACUUGGAAACAGGUGCUAAUACCGGAUAACAACAUGAAUCGCAUGAUUCAAGUUUGAAAGGCGGCGCAAGCUGUCACUUUAGGAUGAGCCCGCGGCGCAUUAGCUAGUUGGUGGGGUAAAGGCCUACCAAGGCAAUGAUGCGUAGCCGAGUUGAGAGACUGAUCGGCCACAUUGGGACUGAGACACGGCCCAAACUCCUACGGGAGGCAGCAGUAGGGAAUCUUCCACAAUGGACGCAAGUCUGAUGGAGCAACGCCGCGUGAGUGAAGAAGGUCUUCGGAUCGUAAAGCUCUGUUGUUGGUGAAGAAGGAUAGAGGCAGUAACUGGUCUUUAUUUGACGGUAAUCAACCAGAAAGUCACGGCUAACUACGUGCCAGCAGCCGCGGUAAUACGUAGGUGGCAAGCGUUGUCCGGAUUUAUUGGGCGUAAAGCGAGCGCAGGCGGAAUGAUAAGUCUGAUGUGAAAGCCCACGGCUCAACCGUGGAACUGCAUCGGAAACUGUCAUUCUUGAGUGCAGAAGAGGAGAGUGGAACUCCAUGUGUAGCGGUGGAAUGCGUAGAUAUAUGGAAGAACACCAGUGGCGAAGGCGGCUCUCUGGUCUGCAACUGACGCUGAGGCUCGAAAGCAUGGGUAGCGAACAGGAUUAGAUAC